AUGGGCGCAAGCCUGCNGCACAUGCCGCGUGUGUGAAGAAGGCCUGCGGGUUGUAAAGCACUUUUAUUGGGAAAGAAAAACCCGGAGCUAAUACCUCCGGCAUUGACGGUACCCAAAGAAUAAGCACCGGCUAACUCAGUGCCAGCAGCCGCGGUAAUACUGAGGGUGCGAGCGUUAAUCGGCAAUUACUGGGCGUAAAGCGAGUGUAGGCGGUUGCCUAAGUCGGAUGUGAAAGCCCCGGGCUUAACCUGGGAAUUGCAUUCGAUACUGGGUGACUAGAGUUUGGUAGAGGUAAGUGGAAUUCCGGGUGUAGCGGUGAAAUGCGUAGAUAUCCGGAGGAACAUCAGUGGCGAAGGCGGCUUACUGGACCAAAACUGACGCUGAGGCUCGNAAAGCGUGGGGAGCAAACAGGAUUANAUACCCUGGUAGUCCACGCCCUAAACUAUGUCAACUAGACGUUGGGCUCAUUAAUGAGCUUAGUGUCGUAGCUAACGCGUUAAGUUGACCGCCUGGGGGAGUACGGCCGCAAGGUUGAAACUCAAAAGGAAUUGACGGGGGGCCCGCACAAGCGGAGGANCAUGUGGGUUUAAUUCGAUCCAACGCGAA
Molecule: ribosomal RNA, 606 nt
Filed under: uncultured bacterium
Lineage: Bacteria
Description: bacterial SSU rRNA
Rfam family: Bacterial small subunit ribosomal RNA
Source: RNAcentral